AUUGAACGCUGGCGGCAUGCCUUACACAUGCAAGUCGAACGGUAACAGGUCUUCGGAUGCUGACGAGUGGCGAACGGGUGAGUAAUACAUCGGAACGUGCCCGAUCGUGGGGGAUAACGAAGCGAAAGCUUUGCUAAUACCGCAUACGAUCUACGGAUGAAAGCAGGGGACCGCAAGGCCUUGCGCGAACGGAGCGGCCGAUGGCAGAUUAGGUAGUUGGUGGGAUAAAAGCUUACCAAGCCGACGAUCUGUAGCUGGUCUGAGGGGACGACCAGCCACACUGGGACUGAGACACGGCCCAGACUCCUACGGGAGGCAGCAGUGGGGAAUUUUGGACAAUGGGCGAAAGCCUGAUCCAGUCAUGCCGCGUGCAGGAUGAAGGCCUUCGGGUUGUAAACUGCUUUUGUACGGAACGAAAAGACUCUGGUUAAUACCUGGGGUCCAUGACGGUACCGUAAGAAUAAGCACCGGCUAACUACGUG
RNAcentral lists this ribosomal RNA (482 nucleotides) under uncultured bacterium. RNAcentral's name for it is "partial 16S ribosomal RNA". It matches the Rfam family "Bacterial small subunit ribosomal RNA", at positions 30 to 507 of the family's 1533-position model. The record is from RNAcentral.